RNAcentral lists this ribosomal RNA (253 nucleotides) under uncultured bacterium. RNAcentral describes it as "partial 16S ribosomal RNA". It matches the Rfam family "Bacterial small subunit ribosomal RNA", at positions 524 to 776 of the family's 1533-position model. The record is from RNAcentral.
UACGUAGGGGGCAAGCGUUGUCCGGAAUUAUUGGGCGUAAAGAGCGUGUAGGCGGUCCGGUAAGUCAGCUGUGAAAGUCAAAGGCUCAACCUUUGAAAGCCGAUGGAUACUGUAGAGCUAGAGUCCGGAAGAGGCGAGUGGAAUUCCUGGUGUAGCGGUGGAAUGCGCAGAUAUCAGGAGGAACACCAAUAGCGAAGGCAGCUCGCUGGGACGUGACUGACACUAAGGCGCGAAAGCGUGGGGAGCGAACAGG